Vitis vinifera (wine grape) is the source of this 1906-nucleotide long non-coding RNA. RefSeq lists it as uncharacterized. The transcript is spliced from 4 exons. The record is from RefSeq and is a predicted model, not a curated record. NCBI's taxonomy places the organism in Eukaryota, Viridiplantae, Streptophyta, Magnoliopsida, Vitales, Vitaceae.
GAAACUAGCCAUGGCUGGCGACAACUGAAGCAUGUGUGGCUGGGAGAAGAACACAAUCAAAGGAGAGGGGAUUGUCUUUCUAUCACAUUAUUCAAAUUGGUUUGUAUCAUAGCUUGGAGAAUGCCCUGUUUGAAAGGAAGGGGGAUAUCUGGUUUGACUUAACUGAUUCAGAUACAAUGAUAGGAUGUCCUCGACAAAACAGAUAUGUGCGCUAUGCCAUCAAUUUGUUGGCCCAAUUCUCCCAGAAUAAUUAAAAGAUUGUUAAAAGCCAGAAGGGAAUUUUGCUUUCCAGUGAGGCAACACUAGAGAUUGGUUCCAUUGGCUCCCAUUAAUUUUGUUCUUUUCAUAUUAUGGCCAUUGCAUGGCCUUUCCGGUCCAAGCUCAUGUCUCUAUGCCAGAGGGUUUCAAACCCAUCUGGGUACCUAUCUUUUCAAUUAUUCCACUGGUUUCCCAAAAUGGGUUACUUUCCUUUGCUUGUUUUGCAUAUAAAGGGUUUGUACAAGUUGUGUAAUUUUCCCCCUAAUUUGUGGGUAUUGAGAAGAAGAAUGGUUCCAUUUGCUCUUCGCUUUUGCUUAUAUACUCUAUACCCUGAGGAGUGGAUUAGCAGAAGAAAGAGUAUAAGUAGACCUACUGUAUUGAGAACUAUUUCUCUGAUUAAUCCAUAUUCAUUUACUGGUUUAGUUGUUUCUGAAUCAUGGGUUUGCCCACAAUUUUUGAGGUGAUAUUUCCAAACUCUUGGUUAUUGGGAACUACCAUUUGAACUAAUUUAUGCCCUCUUGUUUCAAGUACCUAAAAUUUGGAUUUAAUAUUUGUCAACUUCCUCUGAAAUCGGUGUAGGGUUUAGGGUUUAGGGUUUAGGGUACAUUUAUGUUUCUAAUUUGAUUUUUCUUCAUUCUGCUCAAGGCAACCUUCAGUAUUCAAAAAAUUGAAGAAACUCUUUUCUGGUUUUCCCAGUUGUUCAAGCUUCACUUUAUGCAGAAAUGGAUUGCUUCAAUGAUUAAGCAAGUUCCAGAGGUUUAGAGGAGUCCGGCAGCUUUGAUAGUUCUCAUCACCAUCCUGCAUGUUGUUUUUAUUUUUGGGUUUAGAAGCUGCUAUUUGGGGAAUUCACUUCUUGCAAAAUCUCGUUUAGCAUGUUGUCAGGUGCAGCAUUUAGGAAAAUUCCUUAAAAAUUGGGAGUGUUCUUGAAAGAUCUAAUAAAUGGAGGGCUCUGUUGCACCAUACGACCAGCGCCACAGGUGUACACACAUAAAGGUUUUAGGACAAAAGGGUCAGUGGAAGAGGGAGGCAGAAAUAGGCAAGCAAUGAUGGAAGGGAUCUCCAUGAGGGAUAUUUCUGUUCCACAAACAAGGAGAGCGACUACACACAAAACAUGUUGAUAGCACAUCAACUAGAGAGUUGAAUCUCAAACAGGCACGCGUGAGUGUUGCUUUGGAAGGCUGCAAGGAGCUACUUUGUUUGGACAGAAAUGAGCAAAUGGAUGCUAAGCUGUUCAUAUACCAUUUCACUGAAGGAAGAUCUGAUUCGCGCCUACAAGCCAUGAAAUGAUAGAGAGAAGAAUGCUUGCAUAUGAUGAAUGGAUUGAAAGUGCAAUGAGGUUUUGGCUGUAACCAAUACACAGCCCUUGUCCAACACUUCAUAUGGAAUGGCAUGUAUGCCACUUUGAAGGCUAAAACUAGUGUGAUGGCCUAACCGAAAGCUAGAAGGAGAUUUCAAUGGUCAAUAUCCCAUUGGAGGGUAUAUUCCCCCAUGACAACCUGACAGGUAAGUCAGUCAUAAUAUCCCAAAUAUUCUCGGGUAUCCAUCGGUGGGGUCUCAUUGUUUGGGGAUCGCAUAUCCUAAUCAAGCAAUCAUGAUCAUCACAAUGAAUAUGCACUAAUAUUAUUUGAUUGCUCUUCUCUUACUGUCU